Molecule: small RNA, 16 nt
Filed under: Arabidopsis thaliana (thale cress)
Lineage: Eukaryota; Viridiplantae; Streptophyta; Magnoliopsida; Brassicales; Brassicaceae
Description: ATSL024710
Source: RNAcentral
GCAUCCUAGUACUACU